Molecule: ribosomal RNA, 1399 nt
Filed under: Klebsiella pneumoniae
Lineage: Bacteria; Pseudomonadati; Pseudomonadota; Gammaproteobacteria; Enterobacterales; Enterobacteriaceae
Description: bacterial LSU rRNA
Rfam family: Bacterial large subunit ribosomal RNA
Source: RNAcentral
CAAGGCUGAGGUGUGAUGACGAGGCACUACGGUGCUGAAGUAACAAAUGCCCUGCUUCCAGGAAAAGCCUCUAAGCAUCAGGUAACAUCAAAUCGUACCCCAAACCGACACAGGUGGUCAGGUAGAGAAUACCAAGGCGCUUGAGAGAACUCGGGUGAAGGAACUAGGCAAAAUGGUGCCGUAACUUCGGGAGAAGGCACGCUGGUGUGUAGGUGAAGUCCCUGCGGAUGGAGCUGAGACCAGUCGAAGAUACCAGCUGGCUGCAACUGUUUAUUAAAAACACAGCACUGUGCAAACACGAAAGUGGACGUAUACGGUGUGACGCCUGCCCGGUGCCGGAAGGUUAAUUGAUGGGGUUAUCCGUAAGGAGAAGCUCUUGAUCGAAGCCCCGGUAAACGGCGGCCGUAACUAUAACGGUCCUAAGGUAGCGAAAUUCCUUGUCGGGUAAGUUCCGACCUGCACGAAUGGCGUAAUGAUGGCCAGGCUGUCUCCACCCGAGACUCAGUGAAAUUGAACUCGCUGUGAAGAUGCAGUGUACCCGCGGCAAGACGGAAAGACCCCGUGAACCUUUACUAUAGCUUGACACUGAACAUUGAGCCUUGAUGUGUAGGAUAGGUGGGAGGCUUUGAAGCGUGGACGCCAGUCUGCGUGGAGCCAACCUUGAAAUACCACCCUUUAAUGUUUGAUGUUCUAACGUUGGCCCCUGACCGGGGUUGCGGACAGUGUCUGGUGGGUAGUUUGACUGGGGCGGUCUCCUCCCAAAGCGUAACGGAGGAGCACGAAGGUUAGCUAAUCCUGGUCGGACAUCAGGAGGUUAGUGCAAUGGCAUAAGCUAGCUUGACUGCGAGCGUGACGGCGCGAGCAGGUGCGAAAGCAGGUCAUAGUGAUCCGGUGGUUCUGAAUGGAAGGGCCAUCGCUCAACGGAUAAAAGGUACUCCGGGGAUAACAGGCUGAUACCGCCCAAGAGUUCAUAUCGACGGCGGUGUUUGGCACCUCGAUGUCGGCUCAUCACAUCCUGGGGCUGAAGUAGGUCCCAAGGGUAUGGCUGUUCGCCAUUUAAAGUGGUACGCGAGCUGGGUUUAGAACGUCGUGAGACAGUUCGGUCCCUAUCUGCCGUGGGCGCUGGAGAAUUGAGGGGGGCUGCUCCUAGUACGAGAGGACCGGAGUGGACGCAUCACUGGUGUUCGGGUUGUCAUGCCAAUGGCACUGCCCGGUAGCUAAAUGCGGAAGAGAUAAGUGCUGAAAGCAUCUAAGCACGAAACUUGCCCCGAGAUGAGUUCUCCCUGAGACUAUAAGUCUCCUGAAGGAACGUUGAAGACGACGACGUUGAUAGGCCGGGUGUGUAAGCGCAGCGAUGCGUUGAGCUAACCGGUACUAAUGAACCGUGAGGCUUAACCUU